Molecule: unclassified non-coding RNA, 616 nt
Filed under: Trichoderma harzianum
Lineage: Eukaryota; Fungi; Ascomycota; Sordariomycetes; Hypocreales; Hypocreaceae
Description: sequence contains 18S rRNA gene, ITS1, 5.8S rRNA gene, ITS2, 28S rRNA gene
Source: RNAcentral
CACCGAACUGGGAUUCUACCUUGAUCGAGGUCACAUUUCAGAAGUUGCGUGUUUAACGGCUGUGGACGCGCCGCGCUCCUACUAGAGUGUGCAAACUACUGCGCAGGAGAGGCUGCGGCGAGACCGCCACUGUAUUUCGGAGACGGCCACCGCCAAGGCAGGGCCGAUCCCCAACGCCGACCCCCCGGAGGGGUUCGAGGGUUGAAAUGACGCUCGGACAGGCAUGCCCGCCAGAAUACUGGCGGGCGCAAUGUGCGUUCAAAGAUUCGAUGAUUCACUGAAUUCUGCAAUUCACAUUACUUAUCGCAUUUCGCUGCGUUCUUCAUCGAUGCCAGAACCAAGAGAUCCGUUGUUGAAAGUUUUGAUUCAUUUUCGAAACGCCUACGAGAGGCGCCGAGAAGGCUCAGAUUAUAAAAAAACCCGCGAGGGGGUAUACAAUAAGAGUUUUGGUUGGUCCUCCGGCGGGCGCCUUGGUCCGGGGCUGCGACGCACCCGGGGCAGAGAUCCCGCCGAGGCAACAGUUUGGUAACGUUCACAUUGGGUUUGGGAGUUGUAAACUCGGUAAUGAUCCCUCCGCUGGUUCACCAACGGAGACCUUGUUACGAUUUUUACUUCC